This 1020-nucleotide ribosomal RNA is filed under the name Triticum aestivum (bread wheat). RNAcentral's name for it is "partial small subunit ribosomal RNA". The record is from RNAcentral. Lineage: Eukaryota; Viridiplantae; Streptophyta; Magnoliopsida; Poales; Poaceae.
AUCAUAGACGCAUACGUACAUUGCAUAAGUGCUAAAGAGCAUCUACAGAUGAGGUCAGGUGGAAGUGUGUUCUUAGAGAAUGCAUGCAUCUCUAAGAUGAUAAAGGAAUUUAGCUCUAUACGGGAUGACGCACCAAGAUGGGUAUUACAGAGAGCUAAAACUUAUUUGGAACAUGAUAUGAUAUUCGUUCCAGUUAACAUUGAAGAGUUUCAUUGGUACCUAGCAGUUAUAAAUACCGGGAAGCGAUGUAUCCAGGUGCUCGACUCGGUAGGCCCAGGAAUGAACCGCAAAGACCUCACUGCUAUGCUGAAAGGACUGGAAAAUGUAUUCCAAUAUGCUAAGCUUCAAAUGGAACUAAAAUCUGAUAAGUGGAAAGACUUAAACAUCAGUGCAUGGCCAAGGGAAGAGUGUAUUAAGAGGAGACCGCAGACAGAUGGAACGAAACUAGCAGUCAUUUUAGUGGACUCGGAAUUGAAUGAUGAUAAUAUAAGAAAUCGAGACAUUGAAGAUGAUGAAAACAACACAGAUCCCACGGAUUGUAUGAUUCUGGACACACCCCCUGAGAACCUCAAACCAUCGAGUACAUUGUCAGAAGUAGAGCUCAUCUCGCAAUCAUUUAUCCUUUCGCCCUCUCUCACUCCAACAAAUGACGACUUAAUAGAUGAACUUUGUUUGUUCAUCGACUCACGUCAUCAUGACAAUAUGGACAUUGCUAUGUUCAAAUCGAUGUUUGAUAGCUGGCCAGACAGUAAUGAGUAUCAUAUUUCACAGUGUGAUACAAUUUUAUUGCCAUGGGAUAUUUGUGGGAUAUUUCUAUUGUUUGUUCUCGAUCAAAAUAAAAAGGUUGUCUCAAUUAUGGAUCCGAUACCAAUACCUAUUUUGGGAAAAAUUAUACUUAAAACUGUGGUCAACAACCUAAACCGUGCACUCCAAGUUGCAAACCCUGCAUUCAAAGACGACAUCUCUAAAUGGGAAUGCAAAGUUCCUGUUGUUCCAACAAACUCACAUGGGAUGAUUUUG